UGGGGAAUUUUGGACAAUGGGCGAAAGCCUGAUCCAGCAAUGCCGCGUGUGUGAAGAAGGCCUUCGGGUUGUAAAGCACUUUUGUCCGGAAAGAAAUCCUUGGCUCUAAUACAGUCGGGGGAUGACGGUACCGGAAGAAUAAGCACCGGCUAACUACGUGCCAGCAGCCGCGGUAAUACGUAGGGUGCAAGCGUUAAUCGGAAUUACUGGGCGUAAAGCGUACGCAGGCGGUUUGCUAAGACCGAUGUGAAAUCCCCGGGCUCAACCUGGGAACUGCAUUGGUGACUGGCAGGCUAGAGUAUGGCAGAGGGGGGUAGAAUUCCACGUGUAGCAGUGAAAUGCGUAGAGAUGUGGAGGAAUACCGAUGGCGAAGGCAGCCCCCUGGGCCAAUACUGACGCUCAUGCACGAAAGCGUGGGGAGCAAACAGGAUUAGAUACCCUGGUAGUCCACGCCCUAAAACGAUGUCAACUAGUUGUUGGGGAUUCAUUUCCUUAGUAACGUAGCUAACGCGUGAAGUUGACCGCCUGGGGAGUACGGUCGCAAGAUUAAAACUUAAAUGAAUUGACGGGGUCAUAGCUGUUU
Molecule: ribosomal RNA, 583 nt
Filed under: uncultured bacterium
Lineage: Bacteria
Description: partial 16S ribosomal RNA
Rfam family: Bacterial small subunit ribosomal RNA
Source: RNAcentral